GAGGGUAUAGUUCAGUGGUAGAGCACAUGCUUAGCAUGCACGAGGUCCUGGGUUAAUUACUCAGUACCUCUA
RNAcentral lists this transfer RNA (72 nucleotides) under Camelus bactrianus (Bactrian camel). It matches the Rfam family "tRNA". From Rfam's summary of the family: Transfer RNA (tRNA) molecules are approximately 80 nucleotides in length. Their secondary structure includes four short double-helical elements and three loops (D, anti-codon, and T loops). The record is from Rfam by way of RNAcentral. RNAcentral also lists the same sequence under 3 other names. Lineage: Eukaryota; Metazoa; Chordata; Mammalia; Artiodactyla; Camelidae.